Long non-coding RNA from Folsomia candida, 1896 nucleotides. RefSeq lists it as uncharacterized. NCBI's taxonomy places the organism in Eukaryota, Metazoa, Arthropoda, Collembola, Entomobryomorpha, Isotomidae. The record is from RefSeq and is a predicted model, not a curated record. The transcript has 6 exons.
ACGAGGUCGAAGGGGCCACAUUCAAGCUUAUAAAAUCCUUUCAAAAUUUUCUCAAAAAUUUCGUCACACACAAAAACAAAAAUCAAAAAAGGACUCUUCCACCCCUCGAAAAACAUCUGCUCCUCCGCUCUUCCAACAAUGGAGCAAAAGGAAAAAAAGAGGAAUAGCCUCGAUCAAAAUGGUGGUUUCCCUUCGACAAAAUCCCUCCGAAAAAACGAAAAAUUAUUUGUUUUUAAAUUCCGGGUGAAAGUUCCCAUAAAUUAGGAAACAAAGUGGUGUAAACAACGCAGUGUUCACAGCACGUCUCGUUUACAUUAAGUUAUACAAUCAGGUCAAAAUUUACUAUAGACAAAAAACACAAAAAUUCCCCAAAUUUUUGCACUUUUGCCAACAAAAAAUCUGUUGCUCCGAGAGACGAGACGCGAUUGACCUGGGACAAGGAGCCUCUUAAAAGGUAAAGAUCACCACAUACAUCGUGAGAAAAAGAGAGAUGGACGAGACGAGGGCAACAUCGCGGUCAGAGAGACAAUUCCAAUUUCCUCCCGAUCUCAUCCCAUCCAGCUGAGUCGGGCGAAAAUAAGGCGACUUCAAAUCAAAAGAAGAAGAAAAAAACCGAUCAGUUUCUACACCAAGCAAGCAAUUUCCCAGCUGGGAGAAGAAGAAGUUGAUCAAAAAAAGUAUGGUGUGCUCCUCCUAUAAUUUCCUGACUUUCACUCUCAACACGCCUCAUUGGCUGGGGAAGGAAGGCAGAAAAAAGGAAAUGAGAUUUCACUUCCAGGUAAAAAAAGACGGUGGGGGUCGGGCAGAAAGGAUCACGGUUGGAGGCACGUAGUGCAGAGAAUUUCCAACUGUGUUUAUCCAACUUGGUUGAGAAACGGCAGGAGGGAAAAGGGUUGGUUUGGUGUGGCUAUUUAGUCGGUGGGUAACUUUAGUCGGUGGAGCCCGAGGCAGGUGGGGAAAAAGCCUCUCAAAACAUGACAGUGUCUCAUUGAUAGAAACUUUAUAUCUUGAUUCAGUUUUCCCAGAUAGGAAAAGCCGGUCAGAACAUGAUACUUUACUAUUUUCGUCCAAUUUACCGUAAUUUUUUGCCUUCAUCACUUUUCCCUGGGUAAAAAGCCGGUCAAACCAAAAACAUGACAGAUUGACCAGGAAGAGACGACCUUCGCCUUGCAACAAAAUAAGCGAACUGCAUCCAUCUAUAACGUGUAGUGGAAAUACAUAAGACCGACGACCGACGCCGCGACUUGAGCCUCUGCCAUGCCACGCCACUUGAGAGAGGAAUAAUAAUAAACAUAAUAAUAAUACUGAAAAUGCAGCUCGUCUUGAUUAGAUGUGAUUGUCAUGAGCAUGGUCUAAAUAAAACCUAAAGAUGCGGAUUAAGAUAACCCACACACCAUUCAAUCCAACACCACGGCCACCACCGCCACUUGACUCCAACCAAAUUAUCACAUCAAACUCCAAUCAUUUGUUUAUCCCCAAUCUUUACGGGCUCAUUUCAUAAAUGCCCAAAUUUUAUCGACCCCUCGUUUUCCCGACAACCAACCAACCACGGGUUAUUUAUUCAUUCAUUCAUUUCGGGUAUACACGUUUAGGGGAGGAUUUUGCAAGGAAUUUUCACCGUGCAAAUUUUAUAUGAAAAAACUUUAUGCUCUGGAUUUACAGGAAUUUUGGAGAAUGUUUUCACCCCUUUGUUGCAUAUUUUUUCAUAAACUUGGAGAAAAUCGCAUCCUAAUUUCACCCUGAAGAAGUUUCACGUCUUUCUCAUAUUUCCAAGAUUUAUGCAAAAUUUAUAUUAAUAACUAGAUCAAAUUAGACUACACAAAAAAGAAUUUUAUUUACAAUAUUUUUUUUGGACACAAUUUUUACCAUCAAUUUCAUAAUUCUUUAAAACCUCAC